GGGGCCUUAGCUCAGUUGGUAGAGCGCCUGCUUUGCAAGCAGGAUGUCAGGAGUUCGAAUCUCCUAGGCUCCA
Molecule: non-coding RNA, 73 nt
Organism: Microbacterium sp. XT11
Lineage: Bacteria; Bacillati; Actinomycetota; Actinomycetes; Micrococcales; Microbacteriaceae
Source: Rfam